Molecule: long non-coding RNA, 652 nt
Organism: Labrus mixtus (cuckoo wrasse)
Lineage: Eukaryota; Metazoa; Chordata; Actinopteri; Labriformes; Labridae
Exons: 3
Source: RefSeq, a predicted model, not a curated record
CGUUUGUGGCUGCAGCAAAAGACGUGAUCUCAAAUUGCCAAUCAGUGACUCAGUUUAUUAGCGUUAUUGCCAAUCACUGCCUGGAUCAACAGUGCACCGUUGAGCUCUCACUGAUAGUUGAGCAGAUUCUCACCAUCACCAACCAGCUCAGCAUCAUCUCCAGUGUCAAUGCUGUAACACCAGGCUGCAAGUCAUCCGAUGAGAUCCUGGUAAAGAACUCGCAAAAUCUACUCCAGACGGUCCUGCGGGGGGUCCACGCUGCAGAGACAGCCUGCAUCACAGGUUUGAAGCAGCCGGAGCCAAACUCAGACGGAGCCGAGGCGACAGCUCUGUGUUUCCAGUGGAGGAGGAAGCUGGAGAUCCACCGAGCCCAGCAGACGUCGUCAGAGACUGAUGAUCUGGGUCUGAGGAAGACCUCAUCUCACCCAGUUGCACCAAGUCUUGCUCCACCAGUUACUGUGACGAAUAUCUCUUCAAAGCACAAGAAAUAAUGCAAAAAAUAAGAAGCCUAACACAUCUCUUUUAUUCUAUUUGAUGUAAUAAUGAAGAUUUGGCUGCAGGAUUCUCAGCCUGUUGGAUGAUUUAAAAUUAAGAAUGUACCGAUACACAUCAACAACACAUAUCACAUUACUCGAUUAAUGAUACAAUUUUA